AACGAACGCUGGCGGCGUGCUUAACACACGCAAGUCGAGCGAGAAAGCUUCCUUCGGGAAGUGAGUACAGCGGCGAACGGGUGAGUAACACGUGGGUAAUCUGCCCCGAGGUUGGGGAUAACGGCCCGAAAGGGCCGCUAAUACCGAAUAAUGCAUGUCGUUCCCCGGAACGAUAUGCCAAAGAAGGUUUCGGCCUUCGCCUUAGGAUGAGCCCGCGGCCCAUUAGCUUGUUGGUAGGGUAACGGCCUACCAAGGCGAUGAUGGGUAGCUGGUCUGAGAGGAUGAUCAGUCACACUGGAACUGAGACACGGUCCAGACUCCUACGGGAGGCAGCAGUGGGGAAUAUUGCACAAUGGGCGAAGGCCUGAUGCAGCAACGCCGCGUGGGUGAUGAAGGCUUUCGGGUCGUAAAGCCCUGUCAGAGGGGAAGAACAAGCAGAGCAGGAAAUGGCUCUGCCCUGACGGUACCCUCAAAGGAAGCACCGGCUAACUCCGUGCCAGCAGCCGCGGUAACACGGGGGGUGCGAGCGUUGCUCGGAAUCACUGGGCGUAAAGCGCGUGUAGGCGGAUUGUUAAGUCAGAUGUGAAAUCCCAGGGCUUAACCCUGGAACUGCAUUUGAAACUGGCAGUCUAGAGUACGGUAGAGGGAAGGGGAAUUCCCGGUGUAGAGGUGAAAUUCGUAGAUAUCGGGAGGAAUACCGGUGGCGAAGGCGCCUUCCUGGGCCGAUACUGACGCUGAGACGCGAAAGCGUGGGGAGCGAACAGGAUUAGAUACCCUGGUAGUCCACGCCGUAAACGAUGAGCACUAGGUGUUGCGGGUAUCGACCCCUGCAGUGCCAAAGUUAACGCAUUAAGUGCUCCGCCUGGGGAGUACGGUCGCAAGAUUAAAACUCAAAGGAAUUGACGG
Molecule: ribosomal RNA, 906 nt
Filed under: uncultured delta proteobacterium
Lineage: Bacteria; Deltaproteobacteria
Description: bacterial SSU rRNA
Rfam family: Bacterial small subunit ribosomal RNA
Source: RNAcentral